RNAcentral lists this ribosomal RNA (554 nucleotides) under Bifidobacterium pseudocatenulatum. RNAcentral's name for it is "bacterial SSU rRNA". It matches the Rfam family "Bacterial small subunit ribosomal RNA", at positions 146 to 711 of the family's 1533-position model. Lineage: Bacteria; Bacillati; Actinomycetota; Actinomycetes; Bifidobacteriales; Bifidobacteriaceae. The record is from RNAcentral.
UCUCCUGGAAACGGGUGGUAAUGCCGGAUGCUCCGACUCCUCGCAUGGGGUGUCGGGAAAGAUUUCAUCGGUAUGGGAUGGGGUCGCGUCCUAUCAGGUAGUCGGCGGGGUAACGGCCCACCGAGCCUACGACGGGUAGCCGGCCUGAGAGGGCGACCGGCCACAUUGGGACUGAGAUACGGCCCAGACUCCUACGGGAGGCAGCAGUGGGGAAUAUUGCACAAUGGGCGCAAGCCUGAUGCAGCGACGCCGCGUGCGGGAUGACGGCCUUCGGGUUGUAAACCGCUUUUGAUCGGGAGCAAGCCUUCGGGUGAGUGUACCUUUCGAAUAAGCACCGGCUAACUACGUGCCAGCAGCCGCGGUAAUACGUAGGGUGCAAGCGUUAUCCGGAAUUAUUGGGCGUAAAGGGCUCGUAGGCGGUUCGUCGCGUCCGGUGUGAAAGUCCAUCGCUUAACGGUGGAUCUGCGCCGGGUACGGGCGGGCUGGAGUGCGGUAGGGGAGACUGGAAUUCCCGGUGUAACGGUGGAAUGUGUAGAUAUCGGAAAAGAACACCA